UGCUUAUAACUACUCAUCUUCUUCUUCCUGAACCUGAUAUAAUUUGGCUCAAAAGUUUGUACUAACCUUUAAAUGUUAUGAAUUUCUUCUUGUCCGUAAUCCACUUGUUUCUCAAUUUCUGAACUAUGAUUUUCAUUACAACCAUACACAUUUUUUCCUACUCCUUUUUCAAAUAAAAUGGUCAUAUCUUAUUGGUUGAGACACGUUGAACCUGUUCCUGAGACAUGCUGCUAUUACGCACAGGAUUUUUCCCGUGUUUGAGAAAAUAUUGUCAAUUAAAUAAUUGCACAGAAAGACAGUUAGAAUACAUGUCCAGGGAUGUUAUUUACCAUGCAACAAUCAACAUAAACAACUGAAAACAGAUACUUUCUAAAAGUAUUUGUGAAUCUGUUACCGAAAGAGAGAAUUAUAAAAACUAUAUUCCGGAAUCUUGCAGUGCUUAAUAAGCCAAGGCUGUAAUACUGGUCAAGAAGCAGAAUACCUUCUCUAUUUCACUGACUUCACUUGCUUUGGUUACACGAAAUUUUAACGCCUCUUCUUUCUGCACUCUGUCCAAAUACAGGGGAUAAAUCAAACUUUUUUGGAGCCAAACAUUGUUAUAAUAUGUAUACUAAGUUAAAACAAAACUACAUGACACAAUCCAUAUGAAAAAGUACUUAUCUAAAUAGUUACACAAUUUUAACAAUUGUAUCACAUAUUAUGUACCAGACAGUAAUUCAGUUUGAAAAAAUUCAUUUGACAUGCAAAAAACAAUUGGUCAAUAUUUAGCAAAAAAAUUCAAAGAGUUAACAAUUAAAGCUCCCAGAAUUUCACAAGCUGCACGAGGCUCACUGUUGUGAUUUUUGAGCAACAACAAAU
Molecule: long non-coding RNA, 858 nt
Filed under: Panax ginseng (ginseng)
Lineage: Eukaryota; Viridiplantae; Streptophyta; Magnoliopsida; Apiales; Araliaceae
Description: long non-coding RNA (PGIN_LNC017395)
Source: RNAcentral